This 220-nucleotide unclassified non-coding RNA is filed under the name Lactuca sativa (garden lettuce). Lineage: Eukaryota; Viridiplantae; Streptophyta; Magnoliopsida; Asterales; Asteraceae. The record is from RNAcentral.
AUCGCUCGCUCCCCACCAUACCUCCCCUACGGUUGGCAUGGUGUUGGGGCGGAUAAUGGCCUCCCGUGCUUGUGUUUCGGUUGGCCUAAAUAAGAGUUCCUUCGGCGGACGCACGACUAGUGGUGGUUGAAUAGACCCUCGUCUUUUGUUGCGUGUCGUGAGCUGUAAGGGUAGCCCUCAUCAAAGACCCCAUUGUAUCGUCUUCGGAUGAUGCUUCGAC